UCGUCCCGAGCGCUGGAUUUUCACGGCAUCUGCAAGGGGAGAAUAAAUUAGCGAAAGUCCCUCCCCGGCUUUUCUUUUUUUAAAUCCCCAAUUCUGAUUUUUUUUUUUUGAGCUGCCCCUCCAUCACUAAAAAAAAAAAAAGGAAAAAAGUAGAAAAAUAAAAUAUAAAUAAAAUAAAAAUUUUUUAAAAAUAAAAAUAAAGUAAGAAGAGGGGAAGCUGUUGAGGGGCAGCCCGAGCGCUUUUCCGCGCGGGGCUUCCCCGCUCCUCGCAGUAAUUUAGGAGUUCCUGAAAGUUUUCUUGCGCUGUUUCCUUUACAGCCGCUCAGUUCCUUAACCUUCAGAAAUUUAUACCCUAUAAAGUUUUAUAGCGGUCAUAUUCUUUUAUGGCAGCGCGCUGCGCUGAAUUUUCCUUUCUUUAUGACAAGUUCCUUCCCUUUCUCUGCCUUCCCUCCUCGAGCUCCAAAAUUCUUCCUUCUUCUUUUCUUCUUCUUUUGUUUUCUUUUCAGGGCUGCCCCAAAGAAAGGAGAUUUUUUUUUUCUCCCCUUUUCCCCCCCCCCUAAAGAAGUGAAAUAUUGCCCCUUUGGAGCGGCCCAUUUUGUUAAAAAUUACCGGGCAGGAGAUUCCGGGUCCUGCUCCUGUUCCCGAGCGGGACUCGGGGCUUGUUCGAUGAUUUUAAAUUGUUGUUAUUUUAAUUUUUUUAAAAUAUAAAACAGUUUUCCGGGCUCUUGAGAGCUUCAUAAGCGAUAAAAACUCGCAGGAAUUUCGGGAGGGAAUCGCAGGAAUCGCUCCUGGAAAAGGAACCGCGCGUCCAACCCGAGGAACCUCAUCGUCGUCAUCUUAAAAAUAUCCGCUCUUUAGCACAGCUCUAAGGAAAAGUGAGAAAAAUCCGCUCCUAAACCCCGGCGGCCGAAACAUGGAGGAACUCGUGGGAAAUGAGAAUUGAGCAGGAUUUGGGCCAAUCCGGGCUCCGCGGGGGACGCGAGGGGUUCGGGGAGAACCGAACCGAGCUGGCAAAUUCAGCUCAAGCAGCGUUUCCCACCCUUUUUAAUCCAUUUAAUC
Molecule: long non-coding RNA, 1059 nt
Organism: Melospiza melodia melodia
Lineage: Eukaryota; Metazoa; Chordata; Aves; Passeriformes; Passerellidae
Exons: 2
Source: RefSeq, a predicted model, not a curated record